UACGCAGGCGGCUUCGUUAGUCGGAUGUUAAAGCUCCUGGCUUAACUGGGAGAGGCCAUUCGAUACUGCGGGGCUUGAGGUUGGGAGAGGGGUAUGGAAUUCCCGGUGUAGUGGUGGAAUGCGUAGAUAUCGGGAGGAACACCAGUGGCGAAGGCGGUACCCUGGCCCACACCUGACGCUGAGGUACGAAAGCGUGGGUAGCAAACAGGAUUAGAUACCCUGGUAGUCCACGCUGUAAACUAUGUCAACUAGGUGUUGGUAGUGUUACACUAUCAGUGCCGAAGCAAACGCGUUAAGUUGACCGCCUGGGGACUACGAGCGCAAGCUUAAA
This 331-nucleotide ribosomal RNA is filed under the name uncultured Dehalococcoides sp. RNAcentral describes it as "bacterial SSU rRNA". It matches the Rfam family "Bacterial small subunit ribosomal RNA", at positions 568 to 898 of the family's 1533-position model. Lineage: Bacteria; Bacillati; Chloroflexota; Dehalococcoidia; Dehalococcoidales; Dehalococcoidaceae. The record is from RNAcentral.